AAUGGGGGAAACCCUGACGCAGCAACGCCGCGUGGGUGAUGAAGGCCUUCGGGUCGUAAAGCCCUGUCGGGAGGAAAGAAAUGAUAGAGGGCUAAUACCUCUUGAUCUUGACGGUACCUCCGAAGGAAGUACCGGCUAACUCCGUGCCAGCAGCCGCGGUAAUACGGAGGGUGCAAGCGUUGUUCGGAAUUAUUGGGCGUAAAGGGCGCGUAGGCGGUCCUGUCAGCCCGGCGUGAAAACCUGGCGCUCAACUCCGGGCCUGCGCUGGGAACUGCGGGACUAGAGUCAUGGAAGGGAAGUUGGAAUUCCAGGUGUAGGGGUGAAAUCUGUAGAUAUCUGGAAGAACACCGGUGGCGAAGGCGAACUUCUGGCCAAUGACUGACGCUGAGGCGCGAAAGUGCGGGGAGCAAA
RNAcentral lists this ribosomal RNA (411 nucleotides) under uncultured bacterium. RNAcentral describes it as "bacterial SSU rRNA". It matches the Rfam family "Bacterial small subunit ribosomal RNA", at positions 370 to 772 of the family's 1533-position model. The record is from RNAcentral.